GGGAUCCUCCCGGACCGCGGCACGAACCCGUGUCCCCUGCAUCGACAGACGGACUCUCAACCACUGCGCCACCAGGGAAGCCCUUCUCUUCUUUUAUUUUUAGCUUUGCAAGACAAGUAUCUGUUGGGAAAAAAAAAACAAUUUGUGAGAGUCCCCAGAAAGCGAGUAAGCUCCACAAAGAAACUUUCAUAGCAGAUUUCCUGAAGAAAAACUUAAUGUGUCAAAACCGCUCAAGUUCACAUGAACACUCUCCCUCCGGUUUGAAGACAUCUGAAAAUCAGCUGCCACGGCUGAGACACUGAAGCAGCUGGAAGCCAUAAAUCACGAGGGUGAGGGAUUCUGGGUUGCACGUUGGCAUGUGGUCUGUCAGGCCAGAAAAAUAGAGACAUAAAAGAGCCAAAGGUCGGAGGUAUGUAGAGUUUAGAAGCCUGAACUUGUGCUAUAUUUCAUGCAAGGAAACCUUGGCAUUGGUGGUUCUUUCCAAAUGCUCUUUCACUUUACUCUGCGGAUACGGCACUUGGUUAGAUCUUUACUCCUCUAAAUGGGCUGAAUUCAGCUUCCUGCUAUUCACCCUGCUACUAUUAACUGGAUCAUGUGCCUCCACGCCAUCAUGCAGGGGACCAAUUCCUUCAAGGGAACCUGGACUAAAUAAGAACUUUCCAGUUACAUCAAAAAUCCCUGACCCUUCUGAAACAAUUUAUGCUACCUUAAACUUUAAAAUGAAAGCAAUAUUUGAGAUGAUUUGGUUGUUCCUUUCACAUGACUCUAAAAACUGUCCACUCCCCUGGGCCGAACCCUAUUUCCCAAUUUCCUUACCCCCCAGGCUGGACCUCAUCAUAGAGAUAUUUGCCCAGGGGCCUGAGUAAUAACAGACCCGUUUAUUGAUUCAGAGCAGGAAAGUGAGAAGAAUGGCUUUCCUGGAAACUACCAACAGCUACACAGUUAAUUUUCCUGAGCAGUGUGUGGUAAUGACCCCCAAUGAUGGGAAGUUCCAAGUUCCAAAACACAGCACCAGGCUGGUGGAGAGGGAUCAAUGUCUACUGGCAAAGUGAAGGUAGAUACAACUGAAGCAUGAUUCCAAAAUCAAUCAAUGUUCCUGCCCAAACUGCCAAUGUUAGAACAGAGAAUUCACCAAAUGUCUUUCAAUUUAAAAAAGAAAAGCAAUUUUCCAGAUACCACAGUUGACUUAUAUACUCAUGACAAAUUAUCCUAUGGAUUUAGGAGAACAAUGGAUUUAAGGACAAAAAUCAAUCAGUCAGUCAGAGAAACCUACCUACAUGGUAGGGAAGACUAACUGUUCUUCUCCUUGUCAGGGCAUAUAGACACAAGUAAUCUUUCCUUAGGAAUCACCUAGACAAUUUCACCAACUUUUCACCUUACA
Molecule: long non-coding RNA, 1381 nt
Organism: Lagenorhynchus albirostris (white-beaked dolphin)
Lineage: Eukaryota; Metazoa; Chordata; Mammalia; Artiodactyla; Delphinidae
Exons: 3
Source: RefSeq, a predicted model, not a curated record